Molecule: ribosomal RNA, 619 nt
Filed under: uncultured archaeon
Lineage: Archaea
Description: bacterial SSU rRNA
Rfam family: Archaeal small subunit ribosomal RNA
Source: RNAcentral
UUCCGGUUGAUCCCGCCGGACCUGACUGCUAUCGGAUUGAUACUAAGCCAUGCGAGUCAUUGUAGCAAUACAAGGCAGACGGCUCAGUAACGCGUAGUCAACCUAACCUAUGGACGGGAAUAACCUCGGGAAACUGAGAAUAAUGCCCGAUAGAACACUAUACCUGGAAUGGUUUGUGUUCCAAAUGAUUUAUCGCCGUAGGAUGGGACUGCGGCCUAUCAGUUUGUUGGUGAGGUAAUGGCCCACCAAGACUAUUACAGGUACGGGCUCUGAGAGGAGUAGCCCGGAGAUGGGUACUGAGACACGGACCCAGGCCCUAUGGGGCGCAGCAGGCGAGAAAACUUUGCAAUGUGCGAAAGCACGACAAGGUUAAUCCGAGUGAUUUGUGCUAAACGAAUCUUUUGUUAGUCCUAGAACCACUAACGAAUAAGGGGUGGGCAAGUUCUGGUGUCAGCCGCCGCGGUAAAACCAGCACCUCAAGUGGUCAGGAUGAUUAUUGGGCCUAAAGCAUCCGUAGCCGGCUCUGUAAGUUUUCGGUUAAAUCUGUACGCUUAACGUACAGGCUGCCGGGAAUACUGCAGAGCUAGGGAGUGGGAGAGGUAGACGGUACUCGGUAGGA